GAAUCUUGCGCAAUGGGCGAAAGCCUGACGCAGCAACGCCGCGUGCGGGAAGAAGGCUUUCGGGCUGUAAACCGCUUUCAGUAGGAACGAAACUGACGGUACCUACAGAAGAAGGAGCGGCCAACUAUGUGCCAGCAGCCGCGGUGAUACAUAGGCUCCAAGCGUUGUCCGGAUUUAUUGGGCGUAAAGAGCUCGUAGGCGGUCGAGUAAGUCGUGUGUGAAAACUUUGGGCUUAACCCAAAGAUUGCACUCGAUACUGCUCAACUUGAGUUCGGUAGGGGAGUGGGGAAUUCCUUGUGUAGCGGUGAAAUGCGCAGAUAUAAGGAGGAACACCGGUGGCGAAGGCGCCACUCUGGGCCGAUACUGACGCUGAGGAGCGAAAGCGUGGGGAGCAAACAGGAUUAGAUA
RNAcentral lists this ribosomal RNA (408 nucleotides) under uncultured bacterium. Its description in RNAcentral is "bacterial SSU rRNA". It matches the Rfam family "Bacterial small subunit ribosomal RNA", at positions 359 to 784 of the family's 1533-position model. The record is from RNAcentral.